AGGAGCACUGGGUAUGUACAAAUAAAAUGGCAUGGCAGGCCUUCUCUUUCCAGUUCUUCCCAGAAUUGGGAAAAGCUGGGUUGACAGGGUAAAAAAAAGAAAAAUAAAU
Chlorocebus sabaeus (green monkey) is the source of this 109-nucleotide microRNA precursor. The record is from Ensembl. NCBI's taxonomy places the organism in Eukaryota, Metazoa, Chordata, Mammalia, Primates, Cercopithecidae.